CAACCCUCAAGCCCCCGGGCUUGGUGUUGGGGACCGGCCCCCCGCCCUCCGGCGGGGGCCGCCCCCGAAAAUCAGUGGCGGUCUCGCUGUAGCUUCCCCUGCGUAGUAGCACACCUCGCUCUGGAACGCGGCGCGGCCAUGCCGUGAAACCCCCCACUUCUGAA
RNAcentral lists this unclassified non-coding RNA (164 nucleotides) under uncultured Nectriaceae. RNAcentral's name for it is "sequence contains ITS2". The record is from RNAcentral. Lineage: Eukaryota; Fungi; Ascomycota; Sordariomycetes; Hypocreales; Nectriaceae.